UCCGUAGGUGAACCUGCGGAAGGAUCAUUACCGAGUUGAUUCGGGCUCCGGCCCGAUCCUCCCACCCUUUGUGUACCUACCUCUGUUGCUUUGGCGKGCCGCGGUCCUCCGCGGCCGCCCCCCUCCCCGGGGGGGUGGCCAGCGCCCGCCAGAGGACCAUCAAACUCCAGUCAGUAAACGAUGCAGUCUGAAAAACAUUUAAUAAACUAAAACUUUCAACAACGGAUCUCUUGGUUCUGGCAUCGAUGAAGAACGCAGCGAAAUGCGAUAAGUAAUGUGAAUUGCAGAAUUCAGUGAAUCAUCGAAUCUUUGAACGCACAUUGCGCCCUUUGGUAUUCCGAAGGGCAUGCCUGUUCGAGCGUCAUUACAACCCUCAAGCUCUGCUUGGUAUUGGGCACCGUCCUUUGCGGGCGCGCCUCAAAGACCUCGGCGGUGGCGUCUUGCCUCAAGCGUAGUAGAACAUACAUCUCGCUUCGGAGCGCAGGGCGUCGCCCGCCGGACGAACCUUCUGAACUUUUCUCAAGGUUGACCUCGGAUCAGGUAGGGAUACCCGCUGAACUUAAGCAUAUCAAUAAGCGGAGGA
RNAcentral lists this ribosomal RNA (583 nucleotides) under Botryosphaeria dothidea. RNAcentral's name for it is "eukaryotic LSU rRNA". The stretch from base 211 to 364 matches the Rfam family "5.8S ribosomal RNA". The record is from RNAcentral. Lineage: Eukaryota; Fungi; Ascomycota; Dothideomycetes; Botryosphaeriales; Botryosphaeriaceae.